RNAcentral lists this ribosomal RNA (369 nucleotides) under uncultured bacterium. RNAcentral describes it as "bacterial SSU rRNA". It matches the Rfam family "Bacterial small subunit ribosomal RNA", at positions 527 to 896 of the family's 1533-position model. The record is from RNAcentral.
GAACCGUGCAAACGUUAUUCGGAAUCACUGGGCAUAAAGGGCGCGUAGGCGGCUUGACAAGUCAGGGGUGAAAUCCGGCAGCUUAACUGUCGCAGUGCCUUUGAUACUGUCGAGCUCGAGGGAGGUAGGGGUCUGUGGAACUUCCGGUGGAGCGGUGAAAUGCGUUGAUAUCGGAAGGAACGCCGGUGGCGAAAGCGACGGACUGGAUCUCUUCUGACGCUGAGGCGCGAAAGCCAGGGGAGCAAACGGGAUUAGAUACCCCGGUAGUCCUGGCCCUAAACGAUGGGUACUAGAUUGCGGACUUACAUGGGUUCGCAGUCGAAGCUAAUGUUUUAAGUACCCCGCCUGGGGAGUAUGGUCGCAAGGCUG